Molecule: signal recognition particle RNA, 287 nt
Filed under: Castor canadensis (American beaver)
Lineage: Eukaryota; Metazoa; Chordata; Mammalia; Rodentia; Castoridae
Description: Metazoan signal recognition particle RNA (ENSCCNG00000019497.1)
Rfam family: Metazoan signal recognition particle RNA
About the family: The signal recognition particle (SRP) is a universally conserved ribonucleoprotein. It is involved in the co-translational targeting of proteins to membranes.
Source: RNAcentral
AGGCAUAAUGGCUAUGCCUAUAGGCCUAGCUACUCAAGAGGCUGAGGAAGGAGGAUUGCUUGAGUCCAGUAGUUCUGGGCAGUAGUGCAGUAUCCCUAUCUAGUGUCUGCACUGACUUCAGCGCCAAUGUGGUGACUUCCCAGGAGCAGGGGACCACCAGGUUAUUUGACUAUGGAGAGGUAAACCAGUCCAGAUCAGAAAUGGAGCAGGUCAGAUCAGUAAUGGGUUCAUACUUGUGAAACCACACUGCAUUUCAGCCUGGGCAACAAAAUGAGACCCUUGUCUAU